This 569-nucleotide ribosomal RNA is filed under the name uncultured Bacteroidota bacterium. Its description in RNAcentral is "SSU rRNA". It matches the Rfam family "Bacterial small subunit ribosomal RNA", at positions 242 to 807 of the family's 1533-position model. Lineage: Bacteria; Pseudomonadati; Bacteroidota. The record is from RNAcentral.
CAGCUAGUUGGUAGGGUAACGGCCUACCAAGGCAACGAUGGGUAGCUGGUGUGAGAGCACGACCAGCCACACGGGCACUGAGACACGGGCCCGACUCCUACGGGAGGCAGCAGUGAGGAAUAUUGGUCAAUGGACGCAAGUCUGAACCAGCCAUGCCGCGUGAAGGAUGAAGGCCUUCUGGGUUGUAAACUUCUUUUAUCUGGGAAGAAAACUAUGGUUUCUACUAUAGCCGACGGUACCAGAGGAAUAAGCACCGGCUAACUCCGUGCCAGCAGCCGCGGUAAUACGGAGGGUGCAAGCGUUAUCCGGAUUCACUGGGUUUAAAGGGUGUGUAGGCGGGUAGUUAAGUCAGUGGUGAAAUCUCCGGGCUCAACCCGGAAACUGCCAUUGAUACUAUCUAUCUUGAAUUUUGUUGAGGUAGGCGGAAUAUGUCAUGUAGCGGUGAAAUGCAUAGAUAUGACAUAGAACACCAAUUGCGAAGGCAGCUUACUAAGCAAAUAUUGACGCUGAGGCACGAAAGCGUGGGGAUCAAACAGGGAUUAGAUACCCUGGUAGUCCACGCCCUAAAC